This 400-nucleotide ribosomal RNA is filed under the name uncultured bacterium. RNAcentral's name for it is "partial 16S ribosomal RNA". It matches the Rfam family "Archaeal small subunit ribosomal RNA", at positions 473 to 873 of the family's 1478-position model. The record is from RNAcentral.
AUACCAGCUCUCCGAGUGGUGUGGACGUUUAUUGGGCCUAAAGCAUCCGUAGCUGGCUGAACAAGUCCCCUGUUAAACCCACCGAUUUAAUCGUUGGUGUGCGGGGGAUACUGCUCGGCUAGGGGAUGAGAGAGGCAGACGGUAUUCCCGGGGUAGGGGUGAAAUCCUAUAAUCCCGAGAAGACCACCAGUGGCGAAGGCUGUCGGCUAGAACGCGCCCGACGGUGAGGGAUGAAAGCUGGGGGAGCGAACCGAAUUAGAUACUCGGGUAGUCCCAGCUGUAAACGAUGCAGACUAGGUGUUUGGACGGCCACGUGCCGUUCUAGUGCCGCAGGGAAGCUGUUAAGUCCGCCGCCUGGGGAGUACGAUCGCAAGAUUGAAACUCAAAGGAAUUGACGGGG